Molecule: long non-coding RNA, 3262 nt
Organism: Oncorhynchus tshawytscha (Chinook salmon)
Lineage: Eukaryota; Metazoa; Chordata; Actinopteri; Salmoniformes; Salmonidae
Source: Ensembl
GCAAGGGGCUGAAUGAGAUUAGCCUCUUACCUCAUCCCCUCUUUGUGUGUGUGUAGGAAGUCAACUGUUAACUUCAUAUCGUGGAAUCUACCUUUAGAAUAGUAUUUCCUACUCCCAACACCUUUUUUGUGACACAUUUCUACCCCUUCUCCAGGUGGUGAGUGAGGACGAGCACAGCCAGAACCAGGGGGGUAACCAGAGCCCCAACACAGGUUCCGUCCAGAGCUCUCCCAGACGGGUGCGCUCAGAGACCAUGUUCCUAGACCGGGCAGCCCCCCUGCUCCGGAGAAUGAGACACAGCCAGAGCCUGGCCUUUGAGAAGAGACUGGCCCCCGAACCCAAGCCCACCAUCGAACGCUUCCUUGAGGCCUAUCUGGGGAAGCAGCGUCCUCAGGAGCGAGAGAAGACCAUCCCAGAGAACGGCGGUGGACAAGGGGAGCAGGUUGGCACCCCCUGUGAUGAUGACCAGGCGACAGGGACCCCCGACCAGGAGGAGGGGGCUGGGGCCAGCAGUGGAGGGUUUGUGGCCCUCAACCUUAGCACUGUACCCCAGGAGGGAGACUCCCAGGAGUGGGUGAUGCUGGAGCUGGAACAGGGGGGAGGCAGCGGGGCCUCGGGGGCAGCCAAGCCUCCAGGAGGUGACGCUCUGGAUGGGGAUAAACCAGGGACCCAAGCAGAGGCCCAGGACCAACAGCCUCCCUCAGGCCCAAUCAGUCCCGUCCAGUCCCACAUGGCCCUGCCCUGUACCUGGUUACUGGGCGGCAAGAGGCUGCCUGGGAUGCUAGGCCACUUGGGCCGAGCUCAGAUGGAGCAGUCUCCCAACCCCGUACCGCAGUCCCCCGUGACAGAGAAGAGUGAAGCCAUACCGUUAGAGGCCCCGUUCACCAGACCCACCGACCCCCAAGAGGGCAAGGUUGGUGAGACGGUCCAGUCAGCCCCCAGCCCUGUGCCAAGCCUCAUCCCAGCCCACCUCGCCAACGAUAAAGACCCAGAGAGCGACUCUGGCCUCCCCGACCGUUCCUCUGAACCCAACCAGCGCCCCCAGGUUGAGAAAGCUAGAGGCACCGCAGAGAAUGCCGUCACUGUCUCCUCCUCACCCCCUCCGGUCCUCCUGCAAAGGGACUCCCCCUCCCUGUCCAGACUGAGCCGCAUCCCUGUACGAGACCCAACUACUGCCCCGGAUUCCCCCACCCCCCUCACCACGGAUCGCCGUCACCGCUGGAGCAGCCCUGUGCCUGGCUCGCCCUCCCACUCGCCCUCGCCAUCCCUCUCCUGCGACAACCUGCUACCCUGUGGUGUCCGAGAGCGUCUCCUGUCCUGCUCGGACCGCGGCUCACGCUCCGACUGGCUUGGGGAGGACCGUGACCCCCUCUCCCUCUCGCUCUCCUCCUCGGGCAGCAGGAGUAAGAUCCCGCGUCCCGUUAACUCCCCUCUUCUGGGGCCCGAGCAGCAUCAGCAGCUCUCCUCCCCUGGCAGGUACCUGCCUCGCCCGCCUCCCGGGAAACCGCCCACCCGCCCGGCUGUAGACAACAGUAGGCACCGGCGGUUCCGGGUGCGAGCCAGCAGCACCAGCGAUGCUGACUUCCUGGCCAGCCUGACCCAGCUGAUGAAGGACCGCAGCGGUGCACUUUUCAGUCCACCGCCGCGCCCCCGUAGCUCCUCCUCCUUGCUGCAGCGCUCACUCAGCUCCUCCCCCUCCCGUCAUGAGCUCCGCGAGGGGGGUGGGGUCUUCGUGGAGCGCAGCUGCUCUCCGUCCAGCUUCUCGGGGUCCCCUCCCCCUCCACGGUACCCCCAGGACAGGCUCAGCGGGCAGCAGGGAAUACCGUGGGGUGCAGGGCCCGGUGCCCGAGGAAGGGUCUCCAGCCACGAGGGCAAAGGCAGUGGCAAAGUGAGCCGAUAAGUGGACAGAAUUGGCAACAGGUUGUGCAGAAGGAGGAUGAUUGUUGUCCUGGAGGCAGAGCUCAGCGAUUUCCACUAGAUAGGCCGGCUGCAAAGUCAAAAUUGACUAUAUAUCGUAACAAUUAGGUCUUCAUAGGGUUAGGUUUAAAAUUAUAUUUUUGUACUUUGUGGCUGUGUCAGCUAGUGUCCAACGUGCAGAGUUGCCUCCAGUACAUGAGUAAUCCCAAUAAAUGCCAACCUGCUGUUCAGAAGGGCACACUGUAGUAAAACGUUUUGCUCCGAUUAACAGACACGUUCAGGAUGUACCUCUCCGUUUCACUGAGAUUUAAAACGUUUCCUCCCCACUGCACGUGACCCAGGCGGCAAUGGUGACUAAGACUUUAAUAAUGUAUGUACAGAGAAUAUACUGUAUCUGGUCUUUGAUAGCAUGUGUAAAUAUCUAUUAUCUACUACUGUACUCCAGGGAAUGUACUGUAUGUAUUGUAAAAUGUAUGAUAGAAUGUGUCUAUUUAUUUGUUGGAUGCGUCUCGAACUGAAAGUACUUGACAAAUGUAGCUCGGUUCUGCAGUCGAAACGAAGAAAAGGUUUCCUAAAAAACCUUGAAUGCCAACUCUUCUCUCCCCGACCCUAGUCCUGUGCUCUUAACACUAUGUAUGUGUGUAUGCAAUGAGACCAAAAAGAUCUGUAUUGUAUCAUAUUUGAGGAAUGGAAAGGAGGUCUCCUAGUGUGUAUAUAUGGACCAUUUUACCCUAGUAUAGAGAGCACUUUAAUGCUGUUCAAUCAAACUACGUUUUCCUCUUAUUGCACCAACACAUCAGCCUUCAUUUGUGAGGACCAGGGUAUGUAAACUUCAUUCCUCCUUCCCUUUAGAAACCACUACAGUAGAUGAAACAAAUUGUAAUUCGAGCUAUUUAAAGUGUCACUCACUCUGGCAUAUUUACAAUGUAUUUGUAUGCUUUUGUUGUGAGAAAAUCUCUUCGGUCAUGCAGAGGUGUCACAAUGUUGGAAUGUAACGAAAAAUUACAACUCAUACUGAAUUAAUGUAAAAAGUGCAUGGAUAUCAUUGCAAAUAUAUUAUUUUUCUUAAUCAUUUGUACAGUGUCCGCUUUAAAAAAAAAACUAUUUUUUAAUAAACUGGUCCCGAUCAAAUAUAUUUAUGAUGCAGACCAGCAAAAUAAGAGUAUUUUUAUUUCCCCACUGCAGAAUAAUUUAUCAUAAUUUCAGGAUUGCAGAAAAUCAAAUCGGGUGUACAUACGGCAUUUAGUGAAACAAAAAUAUAAAGGUAACAUGCCACAAUUUCAAAGAUUUUACUGAGUUACAGUUCAUAUAAGGAAAUCAGUCCAUUGAAAUAAAUGCAUUAGGC